This 73-nucleotide transfer RNA is filed under the name Canis lupus familiaris (dog). It matches the Rfam family "tRNA". From Rfam's summary of the family: Transfer RNA (tRNA) molecules are approximately 80 nucleotides in length. Their secondary structure includes four short double-helical elements and three loops (D, anti-codon, and T loops). Lineage: Eukaryota; Metazoa; Chordata; Mammalia; Carnivora; Canidae. The record is from Rfam by way of RNAcentral. RNAcentral also lists the same sequence under 1 other name.
UCCUAGCUGGCUUAGUCGGUAGAGCAUAAGACUUUUGAUCUUGGAGUUGUAAGUUCAAGCCUCAUGUUGGGUA